This 124-nucleotide non-coding RNA is filed under the name Cupriavidus sp. USMAA2-4. RNAcentral's name for it is "Glycine riboswitch aptamer". It matches the Rfam family "Glycine riboswitch aptamer". From Rfam's summary of the family: This family represents the bacterial glycine riboswitch. Glycine riboswitches usually consist of two metabolite-binding aptamers domains with similar structures in tandem. The aptamers cooperatively bind glycine to regulate the expression of downstream genes. The record is from Rfam by way of RNAcentral. Lineage: Bacteria; Pseudomonadati; Pseudomonadota; Betaproteobacteria; Burkholderiales; Burkholderiaceae. RNAcentral also lists the same sequence under 1 other name.
ACCGAACCAACUGGAGAGCGUCGCGGCAGGCUGGCAGACACCAGCGCCGGCGGCCGCCGAAGGGGCAAGCCGAAGUCCGGGUGGACCAGGCGAAUCUCUCAGGCAAAAGGACAGUGGGGGCAGG